This 2905-nucleotide ribosomal RNA is filed under the name Escherichia coli. RNAcentral describes it as "23S ribosomal RNA". It matches the Rfam family "Bacterial large subunit ribosomal RNA". The record is from RNAcentral. Lineage: Bacteria; Pseudomonadati; Pseudomonadota; Gammaproteobacteria; Enterobacterales; Enterobacteriaceae.
UUAAGCGACUAAGCGUACACGGUGGAUGCCCUGGCAGUCAGAGGCGAUGAAGGACGUGCUAAUCUGCGAUAAGCGUCGGUAAGGUGAUAUGAACCGUUAUAACCGGCGAUUUCCGAAUGGGGAAACCCAGUGUGUUUCGACACACUAUCAUUAACUGAAUCCAUAGGUUAAUGAGGCGAACCGGGGGAACUGAAACAUCUAAGUACCCCGAGGAAAAGAAAUCAACCGAGAUUCCCCCAGUAGCGGCGAGCGAACGGGGAGCAGCCCAGAGCCUGAAUCAGUGUGUGUGUUAGUGGAAGCGUCUGGAAAGGCGCGCGAUACAGGGUGACAGCCCCGUACACAAAAAUGCACAUGCUGUGAGCUCGAUGAGUAGGGCGGGACACGUGGUAUCCUGUCUGAAUAUGGGGGGACCAUCCUCCAAGGCUAAAUACUCCUGACUGACCGAUAGUGAACCAGUACCGUGAGGGAAAGGCGAAAAGAACCCCGGCGAGGGGAGUGAAAAAGAACCUGAAACCGUGUACGUACAAGCAGUGGGAGCCUCUUUUAUGGGGUGACUGCGUACCUUUUGUAUAAUGGGUCAGCGACUUAUAUUCUGUAGCAAGGUUAACCGAAUAGGGGAGCCGGAAGGGAAACCGAGUCUUAACUGGGCGUUAAGUUGCAGGGUAUAGACCCGAAACCCGGUGAUCUAGCCAUGGGCAGGUUGAAGGUUGGGUAACACUAACUGGAGGACCGAACCGACUAAUGUUGAAAAAUUAGCGGAUGACUUGUGGCUGGGGGGUGAAAGGCCAAUCAAACCGGGAGAUAGCUGGUUCUCCCCGAAAGCUAUUUAGGUAGCGCCUCGUGAAUUCAUCUCCGGGGGUAGAGCACUGUUUCGGCAAGGGGGUCAUCCCGACUUACCAACCCGAUGCAAACUGCGAAUACCGGAGAAUGUUAUCACGGGAGACACACGGCGGGUGCUAACGUCCGUCGUGAAGAGGGAAACAACCCAGACCGCCAGCUAAGGUCCCAAAGUCAUGGUUAAGUGGGAAACGAUGUGGGAAGGCCCAGACAGCCAGGAUGUUGGCUUAGAAGCAGCCAUCAUUUAAAGAAAGCGUAAUAGCUCACUGGUCGAGUCGGCCUGCGCGGAAGAUGUAACGGGGGCUAAACCAUGCACCGAAGCUGCGGCAGCGACGCUUAUGCGUUGUUGGGUAGGGGAGCGUUCUGUAAGCCUGUGAAGGUGUGCUGUGAGGCAUGCUGGAGGUAUCAGAAGUGCGAAUGCUGACAUAAGUAACGAUAAAGCGGGUGAAAAGCCCGCUCGCCGGAAGACCAAGGGUUCCUGUCCAACGUUAAUCGGGGCAGGGUGAGUCGACCCCUAAGGCGAGGCCGAAAGGCGUAGUCGAUGGGAAACAGGUUAAUAUUCCUGUACUUGGUGUUACUGCGAAGGGGGGACGGAGAAGGCUAUGUUGGCCGGGCGACGGUUGUCCCGGUUUAAGCGUGUAGGCUGGUUUUCCAGGCAAAUCCGGAAAAUCAAGGCUGAGGCGUGAUGACGAGGCACUACGGUGCUGAAGCAACAAAUGCCCUGCUUCCAGGAAAAGCCUCUAAGCAUCAGGUAACAUCAAAUCGUACCCCAAACCGACACAGGUGGUCAGGUAGAGAAUACCAAGGCGCUUGAGAGAACUCGGGUGAAGGAACUAGGCAAAAUGGUGCCGUAACUUCGGGAGAAGGCACGCUGAUAUGUAGGUGAAGCGACUUGCUCGUGGAGCUGAAAUCAGUCGAAGAUACCAGCUGGCUGCAACUGUUUAUUAAAAACACAGCACUGUGCAAACACGAAAGUGGACGUAUACGGUGUGACGCCUGCCCGGUGCCGGAAGGUUAAUUGAUGGGGUUAGCGCAAGCGAAGCUCUUGAUCGAAGCCCCGGUAAACGGCGGCCGUAACUAUAACGGUCCUAAGGUAGCGAAAUUCCUUGUCGGGUAAGUUCCGACCUGCACGAAUGGCGUAAUGAUGGCCAGGCUGUCUCCACCCGAGACUCAGUGAAAUUGAACUCGCUGUGAAGAUGCAGUGUACCCGCGGCAAGACGGAAAGACCCCGUGAACCUUUACUAUAGCUUGACACUGAACAUUGAGCCUUGAUGUGUAGGAUAGGUGGGAGGCUUAGAAGUGUGGACGCCAGUCUGCAUGGAGCCGACCUUGAAAUACCACCCUUUAAUGUUUGAUGUUCUAACGUUGACCCGUAAUCCGGGUUGCGGACAGUGUCUGGUGGGUAGUUUGACUGGGGCGGUCUCCUCCUAAAGAGUAACGGAGGAGCACGAAGGUUGGCUAAUCCUGGUCGGACAUCAGGAGGUUAGUGCAAUGGCAUAAGCCAGCUUGACUGCGAGCGUGACGGCGCGAGCAGGUGCGAAAGCAGGUCAUAGUGAUCCGGUGGUUCUGAAUGGAAGGGCCAUCGCUCAACGGAUAAAAGGUACUCCGGGGAUAACAGGCUGAUACCGCCCAAGAGUUCAUAUCGACGGCGGUGUUUGGCACCUCGAUGUCGGCUCAUCACAUCCUGGGGCUGAAGUAGGUCCCAAGGGUAUGGCUGUUCGCCAUUUAAAGUGGUACGCGAGCUGGGUUUAGAACGUCGUGAGACAGUUCGGUCCCUAUCUGCCGUGGGCGCUGGAGAACUGAGGGGGGCUGCUCCUAGUACGAGAGGACCGGAGUGGACGCAUCACUGGUGUUCGGGUUGUCAUGCCAAUGGCACUGCCCGGUAGCUAAAUGCGGAAGAGAUAAGUGCUGAAAGCAUCUAAGCAUGAAACUUGCCCCGAGAUGAGUUCUCCCUGACCCUUUAAGGGUCCUGAAGGAACGUUGAAGACGACGACGUUGAUAGGCCGGGUGUGUAAGCGCAGCGAUGCGUUGAGCUAACCGGUACUAAUGAACCGUGAGGCUUAACCUU